GUGCCCUUCGGGGAGCGUUAAGACAGGUGGUGCAUGGUUGUCGUCAGCUCGUGUCGUGAGAUGUUGGGUUAAGUCCCGCAACGAGCGCAACCCUUAUGUUUAGUUGCUACGCAAGAGCACUCUAAACAGACUGCCGUUGACAAAACGGAGGAAGGUGGGGAUGAUGUCAAAUCAUCAUGCCCUUUAUGACCUGGGCUUCACACGUACUACAAUGGCUGUUAACAAAGGGAAGCAAGACAGUGAUGUGGAGCAAAUCCCUAAAAGCAGUCUCAGUUCGGAUUGUAGGCUGCAACUCGCCUACAUGAAGUCGGAAUUGCUAGUAAUCGCGGAUCAGCA
This 336-nucleotide ribosomal RNA is filed under the name uncultured bacterium. Its description in RNAcentral is "bacterial SSU rRNA". It matches the Rfam family "Bacterial small subunit ribosomal RNA", at positions 1012 to 1354 of the family's 1533-position model. The record is from RNAcentral.